GGGAGGAAAACUCCACUCCUUCUCACCCCCAGAUCUGAUGCACGUGGGGCUCGGGAGAGGAUCGUAAAUCGCUGCUCUUUGUGUGUGUGUGUGUGUGUGUGUGUGUAUGUUGUUGUUGUUGCUCCCAUUUUCCCUUUUUUUCCCUGUGGUUGCUAUGGGUUACCAGGGUGGUUGCCAUGGGUUACCGGACCAAGGCCGGCUGGCUUGCUACCUGACAAACAAGCCCCGGCAGCCAGAGCCUGCUGGAGGGGACUCCCAGGAACAGGCGAGGGAGGAGGGAGAGAGGAGAACGCGCGUGUGCGGGAUACAACGCGAACCGCAGAGCCAGAUCCCUGCACACAGUCAGUCUGGGUUUUGCAGCUGCGGGAAAACUACUUGCAAGUGGGGUGGGGAGGGGGGCAAAAAAAAAAGCUAUAAAGAAGGCCCUGAGGAAAAGCACUUUGCAAGAUCUGCCCAGCUAUACUCCUACAAGCUUCAAGAAAGGACUGAUAACAUUUAAUUAAAGCAACAAGUUAUCCCAGUUCUAUGGAAAUAUCUGCCCGCUAGUCUCCCAGACAAGCAGAGAUUGGGAAAAGAUAUUUUGUGCAAUUCAACAAAGUGAGUAAAAGAAACUUAGAUAAUUAUCUUAUGAAAGUGCAGUCGUCAACAGAAAAUGGUAGCUCAAAGUAGCCACCUAAGAGAUAUUAUCCAGUGGCCAUUAAAGGACACGUUUAUAAAAUUACACUAGUUCUCAGGUGUAAGCCUUUAAAGGAAGAAGAAAAAAAAUUCCACCCAAUUUUUAAUGAUGAUCAGACUGUAGUCUAAUUCUGAAAUUCAAAUGAAUGUUUUUUAAACUUUAUCAUGGUACUUUUCCAUAAAAGGCCCCAUUGAUGUUUGGUAGAAACUCUGUCUUUAAGUAGAUAAAUAUUAACUGAUCAUCUUCCAUGCAUUGAAAUAUUUCUAUUACCAAGAAAUAUGAUGUACUAGAGUAAAGAAACCUGAGUUAUACAACAUACCGUGCAAACUGCAUAAUAAAAAUUGAAUAUUAAUGUUCAAACAUGCUUUUUUCAAACAACCUCUGAGAAGAUAUAUUACUGAGACUGCUUGACUACAAGUAGGAAUAAAAUUAGUAAUCUUAUGUAAUUUAGUUUGUUUUGAAGUCACCAGUUUUUUAAUACAUGCCUGAAGUAGUAAGUUGUAUAUUCUGUCUCUGAUAAAUAGCAUUUUAGGAAGGUUAGCUAUCUUUAAUUUAAAACAUUUCAACCUAAAACACCUUGUGUAUUACAAAAAUGUUUACCCCAUGCAGAAGUGGAAGUCACAAAACAUAAGCAGCAUUUGUUUUUUUCCACAGUUCUCAUCUGGUUUACAUUUAACACUCUUUGAAACAGUGCCUAUCUUAUAGCCUCCAAAAUCAUGUCGCAGACUUCAAAUGUGUUCUGAAUGAAACGCCCAUGUUACAGCAAUGAAGAUAUUUUGCCUUAGUUUUUAAGUGCACGUAUACGCCAGUUGUUUUAAGUAAUUGCAACGGGAUUUUGUAUCUUAAAAACAAAUGUAAUGGAAGAGUAUUGAAAGAGUCUCUAACAACCACUAUGUCCUGUUAUGUUUUUCAGUUAAAUAUACCUUAACAACAUUAUACAAAAUCAAAGUAAUAAAUCUGAAUACCACUGAUAAAUCUUAAAAAUCAAACAGUUUUGAAACUAAUGACAAAAAAAGGUUAUUUCACAAGGAGCUUUGAUAAGUACCUAUUGUUAGCAAACCCCCUUCUUUAGAACAUGGACAUAAUUUGCUAUUCCUAAAAUAGUAACAUAAAAUGUAUUUUUCAGGAUUCUUGGGGAGCCGUGCUUAUUUCACAUCCAUGUGAAAUGCUGUCAUCACUACUGUGUCCAAGCCCGGAGGAUGAACUGCAGAGGAGAGAAGGGGGGAAAAAAAAUAAAAAGAGGAAAUUGGUUUUCACAACACACUCAAAGCCUGAGUAACAGAGGAGAACUUUAAUUAUCUCCAGUCACAAAGAGAGACAGGAAAUUUGGACUUUUAAUUAGCCAUUUGGAGUGCAGUUGGAUAUUUUUUUAGCUAGAUAAUUUAAACGCGAAUAAUUCAAGUCUGACUAAAUGAAAUUCACAUAAUCAGAAUGCAGAUAAUUGAAUUUCUACUGCAUUCAUUAAUUCAGUGUGGAGGUGUGUGUGAAGACUUCUAUGAUGAGCUGUCACAGCUCAAUAAAAUCUCAGUCAAUUAAUUUUUUCAUUAUCUUAGUAUUACAUCAACAAAAAAGUGAAGUGUGUAUAUAUAUCUAUACACACGUGUGCAACAUUUAUAAAAUCUUAAAUAUAAACAUGUAUACACAGGCACUCAUACAAAUAUACAUAUAUAUAUAUAUGAAAACAGAAUACAAGGAAAUACCUUUCUGAGUCAGAAUCUAGAUAAUUCUUUUCCUUUUUUCUCUCUCCAUCUUCUUCGGGGAAGCGUCUGUUCGAAGAGGCAAACUUCUGAAUGGCUUCAGCAACAGAGUACCUUGUCUGUCCAGAUACACAUGCUUCAAUAUCUUCGGAACUUAGGUGACUCUGUAAGAAGAGGUGAAGCCUGCUGUCCGAAAGCAAUAAUGCAUUUUGUAGUAUCCUGUAAAAGAAAUAAGGUCGGAGGGCAAGAGUGAAGAGGCCGGGUGUUGGGGGGAGAGAGAACAUUAAAAAAAAAUUAAACAACAA
Molecule: long non-coding RNA, 2678 nt
Organism: Ornithorhynchus anatinus (platypus)
Lineage: Eukaryota; Metazoa; Chordata; Mammalia; Monotremata; Ornithorhynchidae
Exons: 3
Source: RefSeq, a predicted model, not a curated record